Molecule: long non-coding RNA, 1193 nt
Filed under: Dicentrarchus labrax (European seabass)
Lineage: Eukaryota; Metazoa; Chordata; Actinopteri; Moronidae
Description: lncRNA (ENSDLAG00005026862.1)
Source: RNAcentral
ACUCUCUUUGUCUUUUUAGGUGACAGAACACAGAUGGAUGAAAACAAAGUGAGUUGUAAACCUCAAUAAUCAAAUGUUUAUUAUAUUGCAUUGACACUACUCAGUUGCAGCUGGCCAGGGUUAAAAAUGUUGAAAAUAUUUCAGAUUCAGAAUGUAUUUAGGGAAAAAACAAACAGGGGAAGAACAAUGGAAAACUAUGACUAUGACUGUGACUAUGACUGUAACUGUGACUGUGUUUUCACAGGGACUGAGCUUAAACCCUGCAGGGACUCCAGAAACCAGCCAGCAAAUGCUGGAUCCUGAAGAUGGUGUUUCUUACGCCUCCAUCAGCUAUAGGACGACCAACAGUAAAGCCCGGGUUUGCGAUAAAGGUGAUGAUGAAGCAGUGACCUACGCCACCGUGAAAGAUGCUUCCUCCCCUUCUACUGAAGCCUCUGCUGAAGCCUCUGCUGAUCCCAGCAACCUCUACGCCACCGUCAACAAACCAAACAAAUAAGAGACCACAGUAUAGUUACAGCUCAUAUCAUCACACCUAUUUAAGUUUGUUUUUUCACUCAUACUGUGUUGUAUUAUAAGAUUGUACAUGCAGUCAAAAUCCUACAGUGUUUAAAAUAUAUUUAUAUUUUUGAGCAUAACUUGGCUUGGCAGGUUGUUACAAUGAUAAUAUUGUAGUUUUGCAUUUCAGUUCUCACAUGAACAUGUUAAAAAAAUUUUCUGUUACAAUUAUUUUUAUGAUCAUUUUUAGGACUUGGCUUUUCUGUCCAGAAGGGGGUGUAGUAGGUUUACAAGUAGCAAGUAGAAAGUAAGAUCCUGACAUUCAUACCACUUAUCUCUUGUAAACUUUAUUGAGCUCUGUGAUGGGUUUUGUCACUUUUAUUUUGUGAAACACUUUUAAAAAUAAACUCAAAACUCAACUUUUGCAUCAGUUUUCUGCCCUAAAUACUAAACUACAGUCAUCCAACUUAUACUGCAUUUUUGUAUGUGUGUUGUCUCCCUUCUCUAUCUUUUGUUGCUAUCAUUGUUGUAUUUUGUAUGCAUUUUAGUUUAUUUAAAUAUUUUUGGUCUUGUCCCAUAAAAAACUUUAUAUACAUAUGUUCAUAGUUUUUUAUAUUUACUUUGUAUAUACUUUGUCUGUAUCAUGUAAUAGUAAGGUGUUUAAUUUGAACUAAAAAUAAAGAUGAGAUGAAGUGGCU